This 117-nucleotide non-coding RNA is filed under the name Homo sapiens (human). Lineage: Eukaryota; Metazoa; Chordata; Mammalia; Primates; Hominidae. The record is from Rfam by way of RNAcentral.
GCCGGGUGUGGUGGCUCACGCCUGUAAUCCCAGCACUUUGGGAGGCUGAGAUGGGUGGAUCACCUGAGGUCAGGAGUUUGAGACCAACCUGGCCAACAUAGUGAAACCCCAUCUCUA